This 63-nucleotide transfer RNA is filed under the name Oxycarenus lugubris. Its description in RNAcentral is "tRNA-Pro". The record is from RNAcentral. RNAcentral also lists the same sequence under 1 other name. Lineage: Eukaryota; Metazoa; Arthropoda; Insecta; Hemiptera; Oxycarenidae.
CAGCAAAUAGUUUAAUAAAAAUAUUAAUUUUGGGGAUUAAAGAUGAGUUGUACUUUUUGCUGA